AGCCAAUAAGCCAGCUUUUGUACUUAACUCGUAUGUUAAGUGGAAAGUUUGAGCCACAUUCAUGAGAGUAAAGUACAAACAAGACCAAAUCAAUUUGUUUUGGUUCAGAGGAUGCUGAACGUUGUUGCCGUGUUCAUAACGGUGCCCACUCACUCACUGUUUUCUAUUAUUUCUCAGGACUGGACAAACCUUUCAAACGGAGACAGAUCUGGACUGCAAGCAGGCCAGUGAAUUCAUUUGACGAUGGCAGAAUAAAUCCAAGCUGUCCAGCAUAUAGCAGAAUCUGUCUGAAGGAGAGACGGUCAACACUUGGACGGUUGAUUUUACAGCGGCACAGGAUGAGACAAUUCCACUGUGGAGGGAAAAGUGACGAGCUGGUGAAUCCUCUGCCUCCUGAUUCCUGAUCUGAGCCAGGGACGUGGUCGCCCGCGGGCCGAGAAGCGUCACCAAAACCUGUCAUCAGUCUUCACCUCCGGCAGGUUUAAAAGUAAUAAGAACAAGGAGCAACAAUUAGAGGGAGAACCGUCGUUCCCCACAGCUGUGGACAAGCUGUAAACCCUCAACUGAAAGGCAAUAAACUGCAACAGGGUCCCGAGCUAACUGUUCAUGUUCUCAUCAUUGUGUUGUCCCCUGGUUUAUAGUUAACACUUGUUAAACUUUACAAGCAGCCAUCUUCAAUACUUGCUGCUAAUUUGAACUUUAUUGUGUUCACAUACACAAUGACAAUUAUUCUCUCUUUUCUCCGACUUUAUUAAGUCAACUAAGGAAAAGCAAACAGACACAGCUGGUUCUGGGGACAUGAAAAUAAAAACGUGUCAGUAAAUGUUAA
Long non-coding RNA from Cynoglossus semilaevis (tongue sole), 829 nucleotides. RefSeq lists it as uncharacterized. The transcript is spliced from 2 exons. The record is from RefSeq and is a predicted model, not a curated record. NCBI's taxonomy places the organism in Eukaryota, Metazoa, Chordata, Actinopteri, Pleuronectiformes, Cynoglossidae.